RNAcentral lists this ribosomal RNA (518 nucleotides) under Littorina brevicula. Its description in RNAcentral is "partial large subunit ribosomal RNA". It matches the Rfam family "Bacterial large subunit ribosomal RNA", at positions 1844 to 2617 of the family's 2925-position model. Lineage: Eukaryota; Metazoa; Mollusca; Gastropoda; Littorinimorpha; Littorinidae. The record is from RNAcentral.
CAUAGAGAGUCGGACCUGCCCAGUGAUACAUUUAGUAUUCAACGGCCGCGGUACUCUGACCGUGCAAAGGUAGCAUAAUCAUUUGCCCUAUAAUUGAGGGCUAGUAUGAAAGGUUUGACAAGGGCAACCCUGUCUCUACAAAAAUCGCUGGAAUUUAUUUUCUAAGUGAAGAAACUUAGAUAAAAUUAAAAGACAAGAAGACCCUAUCGAGCUUAAAAGUCAUUUAUGAUAUAAAGAAAGUGAUACACACAUUUCUUUUCAUAAAAAAUUUUGGUUGGGGCGACUAAGGAACAAUUAAAGCUUCUUUUAUCUAUAAAAAUGUCUAAAUCUGGAUCCGUACCUAUUACGAUUAAAAGAAUUAGUUACCGUAGGGAUAACAGCAUAAUCUUUUUUGAGAGUUCUCAUCGAAAAAAAGGUUUGUGACCUCGAUGUUGGACUAGAAUAUCCUGAUAGGUGCAGAAGCCUUCGAGGGUUGGUCUGUUCGACCAUUAAAAUUCUACGUGAUCUGAGUUCAGACC